AGGCCUUUGGUCUUGUAAUAGAAUCUUCAUAGGAACAGAUGUAUUCUUCUUCUUUUGAUGAAUAUGAAUCAUGCUUUUAAAUAUGUAAAUCAAAGUCUUUAAUAUAUGCUCGGCCCCUGGCUGUAACUAUAAAAUUUAAUUAGAGUAAUAGCUUAAGCGAAUACCUAGCCUGUGUUGUGCUUCAAGCAAGGCAUGAGCUG
RNAcentral lists this long non-coding RNA (200 nucleotides) under Elaeis guineensis (African oil palm). RNAcentral's name for it is "long non-coding RNA (EGUI_LNC015101)". The record is from RNAcentral. Lineage: Eukaryota; Viridiplantae; Streptophyta; Magnoliopsida; Arecales; Arecaceae.